Tetranychus urticae (two-spotted spider mite) is the source of this 2058-nucleotide non-coding RNA. The record is from RefSeq and is a predicted model, not a curated record. Lineage: Eukaryota; Metazoa; Arthropoda; Arachnida; Trombidiformes; Tetranychidae.
CAAUCUAAAUCAAGAUUAGAAUCAAAGGUGACAAUAGUGAUAAUUACUUGAGCUCACCUCAAUUUGUUGUCAAGGUAAAUGUGAUAAGUGAAUGUUUGGAAGAGGGAAAAAAAGUUUGCUAUGAAAUUGGAAACAUUUCAUGGAAACAAUGAACAGAGUGAGAAAAGCAAAAAGCAAAGAUAAAAAACAAUGUUAAACUCUCAUAAACAUACGAUAAGAAUUGUGGAUGAAAAUGAGAGAUGAUGAAGGAAGAGAGAUACAUUGUCAGGGUAAAUAAAUUCCCUGCAGAGCAUUUCAACAAUAGUAAUAACAUAAACAGUAAAAGUAGCCUGAAAUGAUAGAGCAUAUUAUACUGUAUAUGCUUACUGUCAGUUGAUUUAUCAACAUGAUAUUCAUUGGUGAAAGAAUGAAGCAAAAUUUGAGUUUCUCUUUUUUUCUCUUCUCUUCUCUCUCUCUCUCUCGCUUCUGCCAACAAGCUUGGUAAACAGGUGAGAAGAAUGAAUGAUGAAAAUGAUGAUAAAGAAGAGAGGAAAAAAUGAUUUUGUCUCUUUUAAGAUCAUGUUCAAUAUUGUAAUGUGAGCAAGAAAAGUGAACAAAAAAUCAAAGUGAUUGAAGAAGAAAAUGUUUUCAAUCUCUUUUUUGCUUGCCGUCAUUAUUAUCGACUUAACAUGAGAAAAAAUACUUUUUUCAUCUUUAUUAAACAUGAUUAACGUUGUAACGUGUCAACAACAUGUGAUAUGUCAAAUAUUGAAACUUUUUCAUUCUAAAUCAUUUUACCUGUAAACAAGUUUACCUUGAACCAUCAACAUACUGUUCAAAACAUUUUACUUUCUUUGCUCACUUUUUCAUUCUCUUUUGUUUCAAAUGGAAAAUCACAUUUCAGUGUUUAUCAUUUCUUACUUUCCAUUCAACAUGAUAAGCUUUUCUCACUUUUGAAUAACAAUUUUUCAUUCAAUUCGAGUUGGAUAACUUUUUGUUGCUGCAAAUCUUUUAAUAAGUGACAUUUAAUUGACACGAGUUUCAUUGAGUUGGACAUGAAUUUUGUGCAAAAAAUAUCUUCUAACCUUCAAUUGUUUAAAUGCUUCGGAAAACAUGAAAUAAUUAUAAAACGAUUUAAGAUCAAUACUUUUCUUUGAAGUCAUCACAAUAAAACAUGAUGAACACGAAUCAGCUGAAUAUAUCUGCAAGAAAAAGAAACAAAAAAAGUGUGCAAAAAGUGAUAUAAGUUCUUUGGCCCUGGUGACACCUUUUUUUCUGCUGUUCAUUUUUUCAACCGCUUUUUUAUCUCUCCUAGUUUAGCUCAUAAUAUUGAUUCCUCCCCAUGCCAAUCAAAUUAUGGUUUUUUUCAUUCAAGAGUUCCGGUUCCAAUCAUUUUAAGAGUUGCCCUUUACACAGCUUCACCCAACAAUUGGUUCAACAAAAGUAUCGAAUCCAAGAUUAGAAGAUUUAAAGAAAAGAAGAAAAUUAUUGCAAUAAUUAAAUCAAUUACUAAUUGUAAUAACAAUAAAUUGAUUAAAGUUUAUUAGACUCUUAAAAACGGUCUAAGAAUGAAAGAAAAGUAGAAAUCAUGUUUAGUCGAAGUCAAGCCAAGUGUUGGUAAAAAGUUGUCCUAAGAAGAGCUACUUCUAGGUUAUGCUUUAGGUUGACUGUUGGGUUGAAAUUUACGAUAAACAAAAAGCUUGCAAAAGAAUUAAAAAAAGUGAAAACAAGAAUCUCGAGUAAACGUAUUUGCUGAUACGUAACCAGUUGUGUAAAAUGAUUAAAGUGUAAAAAGGGUCUACAAGAGUGGACAAGAUCAUACAGGAAUGUGGUCAUUCAUCACCUUGCUUCAUCGAUCAUCAUCAUUCCUCUUUUACUUUUUUUUGUGCUUUUGCUCAUUCACUUACUGUACUUACUCUUCAACUCAUUUUUCCUCCUCUUCAAUUUAACUCACCAUCAAGUUUUUUUCAUCUUUCACUCACUCACUCUUCAUCUUUUUAACAUUAUUAUGUAAGGAGCAACAGCAGCAUAAACAUCAACUUAACCAAACAAAAAUGGCAAAUGCAAACAGAAAGAGAG